AGUGAACGCUGGCGGUAGGCCUAACACAUGCAAGUCGAACGGCAGCACAGUAAGCGCUUGCUCUUACGGGUGGCGAGUGGCGGACGGGUGAGGAAUACAUCGGCAUCUACUUUUUCGUGGGGGAUAACGUAGGGAAACUUACGCUAAUACCGCAUACGACCUACGGGUGAAAGCAGGGGAUCUUCGGACCUUGCGCGAUUGAAUGAGCCGAUGUCGGAUUAGCUAGUUGGCGGGGUAAAGGCCCACCAAGGCGACGAUCCGUAGCUGGUCUGAGAGGAUGAUCAGCCACACUGGAACUGAGACACGGUCCAGACUCCUACGGGAGGCAGCAGUGGGGAAUAUUGGACAAUGGGCGCAAGCCUGAUCCAGCCAUACUGCGUGGGUGAAGAAGGCCUUCGGGUUGUAAAGCCCUUUUGUUGGGAAAGAAAAGCAGCAGGUUAAUACCCCGCUGUUCUGACGGUACCCAAAGAAUAAGCACCGGCUAACUUCGUG
Molecule: ribosomal RNA, 492 nt
Filed under: uncultured bacterium
Lineage: Bacteria
Description: partial 16S ribosomal RNA
Rfam family: Bacterial small subunit ribosomal RNA
Source: RNAcentral